RNAcentral lists this long non-coding RNA (1158 nucleotides) under Homo sapiens (human). RNAcentral describes it as "HSALNT0271910". Lineage: Eukaryota; Metazoa; Chordata; Mammalia; Primates; Hominidae. The record is from RNAcentral.
GUGGACUCGGAGAGGAAAACCCACACUCAGAAAGACGCAUUCACAAUGUGGGUGGGCACCAUCCAAUAGGCCACCAGCUGGCUAGAAAAAGCAGGCAGAAGGUGGAAGAAGCAGAGUGGGGGGUCUUCCUGCUUUUGUGUUUCUCCUGUGCUGGAUGCUUCCUGCCUUUAAACAUCAGACCCCAGGUUCUUUGUCCUUUGCACUCUUUGAACUUACACCAGCGGUUUGCAAGGGGCUCUUGGGCCUUUGGCCACAGACUGAAGGCUGCACUGACCAUUUUCCUACUUUUGAGGUUUUGGGACUUGGACUGAGCCGCUACUGGCUUCCUUGCUCUUCAACUUGCAGACAGCCUGUAGUGGGACUUCACCUUGUGAUCAUGCUGCUGACUAACUUAAUGAACUGAACGGAUUAAAAUGGUGCAAGAGAAAAGGGCAUUUUUACACAAAAGGAAGCAUUUUCUGUGUUCCAGUUCAGCUGUUCCAAUGACAUUUGGUGGUGUUAUCAGUGUGAAUUAUACAAGCAAGUUUCUUUAUCCAGACUGACGCAUCAACCAUGAUCUAGCAUUUGCAAGAUGUGUAAUUACUUUGACUUUCAAGAAAACAUCUUCUGAUCUAAGGAACUUCCCAAGAUAUCAAAGCUGGCUGGCUCAGGAAUACUCUCACAGUGAUGGCAGAAGAGCAAAUCUGGAAGUUCAAACACUCAAAUGUGUUGUUGGAUUUCUGCAUGCAUCACAUGGGCUAACAACUGGUCAAAGCAAAUCACAUGGCCAAACUAAAAAUCAAAGGCCUGGAAGGUAGACCCUACUUUUCUAUUAAGAUGAACUGCCUAGUAACAUAGGAAAAGGUGGUGAAACCAUGAAAGAUGAAAAAUACAGGGCUGCAAUGUUAUCUACCUCAUUUAUUUUGAUACUCUAGACCUAAGGGGAGUAGUGGAUUAACACGGGUACUAGUCUCUGGGUGUUGUGCCAUCUGUUGUUGGUUUCCUUAACGAUGACAAACUUAUAAGUAUAUUCUUUCAACUAAAUUCAUUUGAGUAUAAUGUUUUCAAGACAAUGGAUUGAUAUACAGUAGACAUAGCUUAUGUAAACAACCUGUGUAUCAAUCCUGUUGACUUAGGCUUUUACCAAUAGUUGUUUUCUAUCGAACCUUCAUUAAAGCU